CAGAGUGUGAUUAUUCUCAGAGAUAGUAUCACCGUGUUAGCUCUGGUUACUCAUUUUCCACUGCAGAGCUCACGUUCAGGUUCCUGCACUGGUGGCUUGUCUGGAUCUAGCCCGCAUGAUGGGGCAGCCCCAAAAUCUUGGUUUAUAAUGUAGUUUCUGGGUGCAAACCACUGUGACCCAGAGCACAGGCUUGUGUGAGAGCAGGACUGAUGGGGGAGGGCUUCAGAAGAGAUGGAAGGACAUGAGAGAAUCUGCAAAUGCCUACCAAGGGGCACCUUGUGUGGCAAUGGGAGCUACCACUGAUAGACCUCACCCUGCAGCGGUGAAUGGAGAGCAGGAGGAGGCGAGGAGCAGCAACCAGGUUUUGCAGCUGGACACCUUGAGGGCAGUGCUGCCAGUUUGGGUUUCCUCCGUGUGUUUGAAGGCAGUGCUUCUGUGUGAGACACAGCAUUGCUGGAAGCCAAGGAGGUGUGAUGGAGGGCAGGGAGGGGCAGUGGACAGAGGGCUGGGCUGUCUCUGCCCACUGCCCAGCUCAGGAGGUCAGGGAGGGCUGUGCUAUCUUGGGAUUCCAGCAGCAUCUGGAAAUUCUCUGUUUGUCCAUCAGCACCUGCACUGUCACAGAGGCUGAACAGAGAGGCUCUGGACAGAGAGAAUCUGCAGGUGCUAAGGUUGGUGAUCCAGACUCUAUUGGUGGAUGCAUCCAGCACCAACCUGCCGACCAGUUUACUGACCUGGGCUUUGUGCAGGCACCAGGAGAGGCGAUGUUACCUGGCAGUCAGGUGCGUGGCUUCAUUGGGCAUCCAGAGGCGAGGUCUGCCGUGCUUCCUUUUAAUGCUUUUAGUGCCAUUCCUGGAACUGCAGCGUCUGGGGAAAAGCAUUCAGAAUUGCACAUCAUUAGCAUGCUGAAGAGGAGGAGGGAAGAGAAGAAGGUGGGGAAGAGUUUAAAAACAAAACCAGAAGAAGAGGAGGGAGUGGAACCUAAAGCCUGUUUCACGCAAAAUUAG
Molecule: long non-coding RNA, 1004 nt
Filed under: Phasianus colchicus (ring-necked pheasant)
Lineage: Eukaryota; Metazoa; Chordata; Aves; Galliformes; Phasianidae
Description: lncRNA (ENSPCLG00000010712.1)
Source: RNAcentral